AGGUGAGGAAGGAGAUCGGCUGCUGCCGGCACCACCAGUCGCGACGAGCAGCCACAACGAUGGUCGGAGUUGCAGCUGAUCGACGGCAGCGAGGAACGGCGGUUGCAGUUGCGGUGGUGGCGGAGGCAGCGAGGAAUGGCGGUUGCAGUUGCGGUGGCGGCGGAGGCAGCGGAUCGACGGCGGAGGAAUGGCGGUUGUCUUCGUCUCUCUUCGCCCCUCCAUCUUUCUCGUCUCCCUCCUCUUUUUCCCGGCGAGCAACGACGAGAAGCUUCGCAGUAGUCCGGCGAGCUCAUUCCGGCGAAGAGAGGCAGUGAGCAGUGGCGGCAGUCCGAUGGUAGCUGAGGUCUUCUCCGGUCUUCAUCUCCCCUGGCGAAGAGAGAGGCAGUGAAUGUUGGUGGUCGACGGUGAGGAAGAUGGAAAGUCCCAGGCAGAUUGGUCAAUUACAGCUUAUGUAUUUGAGUCACACAGCAGCCAUUGCAGUAAGAAACAAUAACAAUGGGAUUCCUGUCAAAAUGGAUUGAUUUGAAUUUGGAAAAGCAAGUGGAAUGGCUCCCCGUGCAAGGUGGGUGGAGGAGUAUCAUGUUGACGGUUCCCAUUUUCAUUCAAUUCCAUCAAUGUUGUAUACACACAACAGAUUUGUAUCAUUUAUUGGAUUUGCAAUACUCUACCAAUUUAAUUGACAAGGAGAGGAAGAAUUUUCAUUAUCAUUAA
Ipomoea triloba (trilobed morning glory) is the source of this 711-nucleotide long non-coding RNA. RefSeq lists it as uncharacterized. The record is from RefSeq and is a predicted model, not a curated record. NCBI's taxonomy places the organism in Eukaryota, Viridiplantae, Streptophyta, Magnoliopsida, Solanales, Convolvulaceae. The transcript is spliced from 3 exons.